ACUAAACAUAAACAUAAACUAAGCUAUUACAUGCAUACAUCACUUAGCCUUGACUUUACCCUGAAAACUUCUGAACUCAACUUCAGACCUGCAAAACUGAGGUUAGGGGAAAGGGGUGAGCUAAAAAGCCCAGUGAGUAGAAACAGAGAAAACAGUUCAUUAAUUAUGAUUUCAUUUUACUAAAAACAUUUGCUUUAAUUCCUCCAUUUUUAGGUAUAUUAUUAUUCAUUUAACUUCUUCUUUCUUUUUCUUAUUCAUGCUUUUCAUGAAAUGCGUCAUAACACAGAGAAAUCACAUAAUCUUGUCCGUCUCGGGGCUUAUGCAAGAUUUAUUCCCCACGGACCCUGGUUUCUGAGAGUCUGACUUUUUGCAUGCAUCUUUCCUCUCAGAGGAUGGACAUGACAUCAAAAAUCCCUCUGUCGGUGCCCGGCUCCCCCAUAGGAGCUCACAAAGGCCUGUAACAUACAUGACAUGGUGUCUGGUCCACUGAGAGCUCACAUGGACUUUCCUACAGGUACUUGUCCGGCUCUCAAAGGACUAAGACAAGACUCGUGACAGAUAUGGGCUAUUGAAGUCGCCUCGGUCCACCCUACCUCAACAUCAACAUGAAAUAAUGCAAUGCAACAUAUUCGUGAACUAGUGCAAUCAACCUACUAUACAUAAUCAUGAUGCAUGCUCAUGCUUUAGGCAUUAGAUUUUAUGCAUAAAAGAUUAAGUUUAGUUCUACUCACCUCCUGGCAGACGCUGACUGACUCUGCAACUGCUAGCACUACUGGCCUCCUCGGUCCCUCGGGUCCGAUCCUACACAGGUGGACUCGAAUGAGGUGCCAAACACAUUCUAACAACUCAUAAACAUACCCCCAAAAACCCCUAUAAACAUCACCAAAACACGCAUAGAAAACACCCAAGAAACGGCUGGACAGGGCACUUUCGGCGGCACCUUCGGCGGCCGAAAGUCCCUUUCCAGAGACGAAACUCGGGCAGGUUUGGCGGCACCUUCGGCGGCCGAAACUCUCAGACAGAACCGAAACUCCACUUUCGGGGGCAGGCUUCGGCAGCCGAAACUGCCUCCAAAAGAGGGUUCGGCGGCCGAAACCCCUUUCGGCGGCCGAACCUGGUUUCUGCCAAAGGGCAGAAACUCGGCUCCAACAUGCAUUUUCGCCACCCAAACCAAACCAUCAUGCACAAACCUAUUCUACAACAUGCAUAAAAGCUUCUAGGGGCUCUAGACUAUCCUAAACCCCAACCACAUUGCAUCAUUUGAGCACACAUUAACAUACUUUGGGCAUAAAACCCACCUAAACCUCAAUAUGCUCAUCUACCCCAAAAACUUGCAUAAAACUUUCAUAAAACAUAAAAGAAGUGUAGAUCGGAGCUUACCUCUUGAAGAUCGAGAGGAAGAACGAUCCUAGCUUGGAGAAUGGAGAGAUCGAGCUCCAAGCACCUCCAAGUUCCAAAACUUGCUCCUUAACUCAAAAUCUUCAAAACUAAGUUGAAAUCUCGUUAAACCUUACAAGAUUUGAGGAAAAAUCAUUAAAAAUGGACCAAGGGAGAGUAGGGACUCACCGUGGCAGAAAAUGGGGAGAAAACUCACCCGUUUCUGCCAUGGCGUCCAUUUAUAGGGCUGGCCAAAAACACCUUCGGAGGCCGAACGUGCCUCCAAAACUCAUGCAAGUUCGGCGGCCGAAUAUGGAGAUUCGGCGGCCGAACCUGGGCCAACUUUCGGAAGCCAAACUAGCCUCCCAACCUAUCCAACGUUCGGCGGCCGAACUUGGAGAUUCGGCGGCCGAACUUGGAAAUACCUCCUUGGUCCUUUUCUCUUCAAAAUUCAAUUUUCUUUCAAUUAAAACCAUUAAAAUCACUUAAAAACAUUUAGAAAAAUACAUUUUACCCUUCUAGAGAGAUCCAACACCCUAGAUUCCGCCGAAGGGCAGGAAUUCCGAUGCCGGAUUCUAGCCGGGUAUUACAG
This 1969-nucleotide long non-coding RNA is filed under the name Manihot esculenta (cassava). RNAcentral describes it as "long non-coding RNA (MESC_LNC007711)". Lineage: Eukaryota; Viridiplantae; Streptophyta; Magnoliopsida; Malpighiales; Euphorbiaceae. The record is from RNAcentral.